This 72-nucleotide transfer RNA is filed under the name Clostridia bacterium. Its description in RNAcentral is "tRNA-Gln". It matches the Rfam family "tRNA". Rfam says of the family: Transfer RNA (tRNA) molecules are approximately 80 nucleotides in length. Their secondary structure includes four short double-helical elements and three loops (D, anti-codon, and T loops). Further hydrogen bonds mediate the characteristic L-shaped molecular structure. tRNAs have two regions of fundamental functional importance: the anti-codon, which is responsible for specific mRNA codon recognition, and the 3' end, to which the tRNAs corresponding amino acid is attached (by aminoacyl-tRNA synthetases). tRNAs cope with the degeneracy of the genetic code in two manners: having more than one tRNA (with a specific anti-codon) for a particular amino acid; and 'wobble' base-pairing, i.e. permitting non-standard base-pairing at the 3rd anti-codon position. Lineage: Bacteria; Bacillati; Bacillota; Clostridia. The record is from RNAcentral.
UGGGGUGUAGCCAAGUGGUAAGGCACGGGACUUUGACUCCUGGAUGCGUCAGUUCGAAUCUGGCCUCCCCAG